GUUCCAGGUUGCAGCUACACUGAGUCCAGACACUCGAGCCUCGCUGGAAAGGACCGUACCUGGUGCUGCUGACCACCCUGACAGCUGUCAAUUCUCAGCCCUCACCAGCCGUGUACUAGCUGUUGGGGCUGAGAGCUGGGACCUAGAGGGAAAUUCAGUCAUGUUUGUCCUGGGUUCUAUCAAGAUAGGUGUGGGAUAGGCUUGAUCUCCAUUACAAAUGAUGUAACAUUGCAUAUGUUAGUACUCUUAACACUUCUUGGGACUG
Molecule: long non-coding RNA, 265 nt
Filed under: Rattus norvegicus (Norway rat)
Lineage: Eukaryota; Metazoa; Chordata; Mammalia; Rodentia; Muridae
Description: long non-coding RNA NONRATT031291
Source: RNAcentral